This 1235-nucleotide non-coding RNA is filed under the name Homo sapiens (human). Lineage: Eukaryota; Metazoa; Chordata; Mammalia; Primates; Hominidae. The record is from RNAcentral.
AUGUUGAUGCUGGAGCCACCUGCUUCUUAUUCUCUAUCUGCACCUUCCUCUCACCUUCUGUAAACCUGUGAGAGAGACGAGGUAGUGAGAUUGCGAUAGGCUUCUUGUGUAAUUUCAUAGUGGGUAGAGUAGAGAAAGCCUAAUGCAUACUGUUGGGAGAUCAUUAUGUAUGAUUUUGGAAAGGGGGUGAGCAUGAGAUGGGGGAAUAGGGUUACUCUGAAGAAAUGGGAAGAGCAAUCAAGGAGAAGCAUAGUAUUCAGAUUCUCUAAUUUGACCCCAUGGCCAACUUCAUAUUGUUUCCACUAGAUAUCAUUUUAAAUAUUCCUGUGGUUUCGUGGUCCUAAGAAUAUGAAGGCAUGCAAGAUUCCAAGAUUAAAGAUGUUAAAGCCAGAUAGAAAAGAUAUUUAAAUAUUUCAAAAUCUAACAAGUUCAAAUGACUUUAGUUUUAGAAAGAAAAAAACACAUUAAUGAGCCCAAGAAAUACACGCAACUCUGCAACUCUGGUGAGCAUGAUAGACUUCUAAGAGUAAAUGUACUAGAUACAACCUAAAUUCAGGGACUUAUUAAAGCUCUACUACUCAUUACUAGUGACUCAGAGCAAGUAUCUAUAACCUCUCUAAUCUCUAGUUUUCUCAUUAAAAAAUGGGCAUGAUAUUUUACUUGUCUUGUUUGAUUGUUGUAAGGAAUGAAUAAUGUGGCUCAUAGCAAAGAGCCAGGCAGAGUGGAAGCUCUCAGUACAAGUAGCUAUUGUUAUUAUCUAGCCUCCAUGUUUUGGGUGUCCUAGGACAUGCUUUUUUUUUUUUUCCAUUGCAGUAGAUUUCCACCUGUUCCCAUCCUCCACAGUCUCCCAUCCCACCAGCAACACACGUGAGAUAUCUGAUGCCUUCCCAUCAAUAACUCUCACUUAGUAUGGGUAAGCAAAAAAUUUCCAACCAGGGAUGGAAGUUGUGGAGAGAUAGAGUGGGAAAGCUCAAGGAGCAUUGAUAGGGAUCAUUAAUUAAAAAUCUACCAAACAUCUCUUUCUCUCCCUAAUGUGCGAGUUACAAUAACAUCACUCAAAGCAGUUUGCAGCCACAGCUUGAAGAAAUACAGUAACAAUGACAGAAUUAACAUUCACUAUCUUUAUUAACAUUUUUACUUUCUUAAACCUUGUUUCUUUCAAAAGACACUGGCAUAGUCCUGUAUGAAUUAUGUGGAUUUGCCAAGAGAAAAAAAUAAAAUGAUACAACAAAUGG